This 206-nucleotide ribosomal RNA is filed under the name Serratia marcescens. RNAcentral's name for it is "partial 16S ribosomal RNA". It matches the Rfam family "Bacterial small subunit ribosomal RNA", at positions 1 to 214 of the family's 1533-position model. Lineage: Bacteria; Pseudomonadati; Pseudomonadota; Gammaproteobacteria; Enterobacterales; Yersiniaceae. The record is from RNAcentral.
UAAUUGAAGAGUUUGAUCAUGGCUCAGAUUGAACGCUGGCGGCAGGCUUAACACAUGCAAGUCGAGCGGUAGCACAGGAGAGCUUGCUCUCUGGGUGACGAGCGGCGGACGGGUGAGUAAUGUCUGGGAAACUGCCUGAUGGAGGGGGAUAACUACUGGAAACGGUAGCUAAUACCGCAUAACGUCGCAAGACCAAAGAGGGGGAC